Molecule: ribosomal RNA, 470 nt
Filed under: uncultured soil bacterium
Lineage: Bacteria
Description: bacterial SSU rRNA
Rfam family: Bacterial small subunit ribosomal RNA
Source: RNAcentral
AGAUUGAACGCUGGCGGCAUGCCUUACACAUGCAAGUCGAACGGUAGAGUAGCAAUACUCGAGAGUGGCGAACGGGUGAGUAAUAUAUCGGAACGUGCCCAGUCGUGGGGGAUAACGUAGAGAAAUUUAUGCUAAUACCGCAUACGAUCUAAGGAUGAAAGCGGGGGAUCGCAAGACCUCGCGCGAUUGGAGCGGCUGAUAUCAGAUUAGGUUGUUGGUGAGGUAAAAGCUCACCAAGCCGACGAUCUGUAGCUGGUUUGAGAGAACGACCAGCCACACUGGGACUGAGACACGGGCCCAGACUCCUACGGGAGGCAGCAGUGGGGAAUUUUGGACAAUGGCGAAAGCCUGAUCCAGCAAUGCCGCGUGCAGGAAGAAGGCCUUCGGUUAGUAACUGCGUUUUUGUACGGAACGAAAAGCGUCUUUACUAAUAAAGUAGGCCAGUGACGGUACCGUAAGAAUAAGACACG